CAUAAUUCUAUCAAAUAUACCCACCAGAUGGAAGUCCUCCUUCUAGUGACUAUCUCCUUUGUGUCUUAGUAUGCACGUACAUAUGCAGUGUGGAAUACAGAUAUUUAUUGAAGCUUUUUUAACCUGUUAAUCCAGCGUCUGAUGCAUUACCUGAAUUUGUGAACUUGGAAAUUCACUUUGGAAGAAAGUGAAAUACACACAGUGGGUACAGAGUUUUCUAGGGGAAGGAUAUAUAUGCUGUCACAUAAGGAUAUGACUGCAGCUGGGAAAGAGAAGUUUCAUUGCUUGUUGCUCUUUUGCUGAGGAGCAGAAAAUCCUGACUUCUACAGCUGCAGCACUGCAAGCACUGAAGGACAAAUCCAAGGAAAGAACACCACAAAGAAAGCUGUACCUCCUGUAACUUCUGUGUGUGGAAGCCUUUAACUGGCCAUGUGAAAGAGAAUGCUGCCAACCCAUCCCAGUGGAAAAUUCCUUCCUGGUAAUUACCUUGAUCUAUUGCAAAUCCGUAUACUCUCUGAUAUGCCAAUAUAUGGCUGGAAAACAGCCUUCCAGAAGAUGACCUUGAGGUCCUGGCAGACACUGACUUGAACAUGAACCAAUAAUGUGCCCUUGUGGCAAAGAAGACAAAUGGUGUCCUGGGAUGCAUUAGGAGUAUUGCCAGCAGAUUGAGGGAGGUAAGUGAUUCCUCUAUUAGUGCCAGUGA
This 703-nucleotide long non-coding RNA is filed under the name Cyanistes caeruleus (blue tit). Its description in RNAcentral is "lncRNA (ENSCCEG00000000825.1)". The record is from RNAcentral. Lineage: Eukaryota; Metazoa; Chordata; Aves; Passeriformes; Paridae.